GAGAAGGAUGCAGACCGUCAGCUCCUGCAGAGGGAAAGCCAGUGAGCCUGGACCGGGGCGUCAGCCGAGCUGAGGCCGUACCGGAGACCCUGGGGAGGGACGCCUGCCGCGAGGGACCUACGGGGGAACCGCUCCCACAACACCGAUGUCCGGCUAGACAGGCUGCUGCCACUGUGGCCUUCACCACCACACAACGCCUGAGCCAGAUAAGGAAGAAAAAGAUGAGGACUUGGGAUAACCUUUCAGCAAGAUCCUGCAAGCCAGUGCUGCAUCAGACCAUGAGCAUGAACACUGCGAUCAGCCUGAAGAAGGAAAGAGUGGUGAGGAGACAGGAGUCCCAGCAGGAAAAGGAGAGAGAGAUGCACCAGGACACAAUGGGGCUUCUCAAGCAAUAAGCACAGAUGCUGUAGACUCUGGUGGAUCUGCAGAUUCAACAAUCCAGUGCUUGCCUCCCUCUGCAGCCCACUGAGAACUGAAUAUUGGGAUCUCUGUAUACAUUCCACAUGGCAUCAGGGGUCACUGCACUACCCCUACCACUCCACUCCAGGGAACAUUAAAGACAAUCACAUCUUCACGUACACUAACCUCUGAAAGCCAUGAUUGGUGUACAUGUUGCUAAAAUGGACAUAAUGUUUUUUCCCCUUCAUAAGUUCUGUUCUCUUAAUUUAUUAGGUUUUUAAGGUAUUUGUUUUAAAAUCACGGGUUUUUUCAUAGAUUUUGUUACAGAAUAAAAUUCUAUUUGGAGCAUUAUUCAUCUUUAUUAGUACACAACAUAUGCCGCCAAGCGCUCAGCAGUUCUGAAAAUACCUACUUACCUCUUACUGCACAAUGUCACACAACUAAUAGGAUCAUUCACAAACAAAAUGAAUAGGUGCAUUGACAAUGUUACAUUCCUACAUGUACAGCAAUCACCAUACAAUUCCUACCAGGCUACAAAAGCGCAAGGCCAAGUAGAGCACACUAUAACACACACUACUCUGGCUUGCUGUUAAAAUGGUCUUUCAAAGCCUUCCUGAGCCUUUGAGCUCUUCUAAUAGCCCUUGUUCAAAUUCAGCAGACAGCCACUCCAUCUCCACCCUGGUGGAAACAUUUCCCCCUUUGCUUUAUGACAGACACAGCAGGCAGUGAUAACCAUUGGGAUAUUUUUCCCACUGAGUUCCCAUAUUGUGAGUAAACAAUUCCAGCAACCCUUCAAACAAUCAAAAGCACAUUCAACGGUCAU
This is a long non-coding RNA of Mauremys reevesii (Reeves's turtle), 1222 nucleotides long. RefSeq lists it as uncharacterized. Lineage: Eukaryota; Metazoa; Chordata; Testudines; Geoemydidae. The transcript has 2 exons. The record is from RefSeq and is a predicted model, not a curated record.